AUUGAACGCUGGCGGCAGGCCUAACACAUGCAAGUCGAACGGUAACAGGAAGACGCUUGCUUCUUUGCUGACGAGUGGCGGACGGGUGAGGAAUGUCUGGGAAACUGCCUGAUGGAGGGGGAUAACUACUGGAAACGGUAGCUAAUACCGCAUAACGUCGCAAGCCCAAAGAGGGGGACCUUCGGGCCUCUUGCCAUCGGAUGUGCCCAGAUGGGAUUAGCUAGUAGGUGGGGUAACGGCUCACCUAGGCGACGAUCCCUAGCUGGUCUGAGAGGAUGACCAGCCACACUGGAACUGAGACACGGUCCAGACUCCUACGGGAGGCAGCAGUGGGGAAUAUUGCACAAUGGGCGCAAGCCGGAUGCAGCCAUGCCGCGUGUAUGAAGAAGGCCUUCGGGUUGUAAAGUACUUUCAGCGGGGAGGAAGGGAGUAAAGUUAAUACCUUUGCUCAUUGACGGUACCCGCAGAAGAAGCACCGGCUAACUCCGUG
This 490-nucleotide ribosomal RNA is filed under the name uncultured bacterium. RNAcentral describes it as "partial 16S ribosomal RNA". It matches the Rfam family "Bacterial small subunit ribosomal RNA", at positions 30 to 507 of the family's 1533-position model. The record is from RNAcentral.